AUUGAACGCUGGCGGCAGGCCUAACACAUGCACGUCGAGCGGAGCGGCGGACGGGUGAGUACUGCCUCGGAAUCUGCCUGGUAGUGGGGGAUAACGUCCGGAAACGGGCGCUAAUCCCGCAUACUAUCAGAUGAGCCUAGGUCGGAUUCGCUAGUUGGUUGGUUAAAGGCCUACCAAGGCGACGAUCCGUAACUGGUCUGAGAGGAUGAUCAGUCAAACUGGAAAUGAGACACGGUCCAGAAUCCGACGGUAUGCAGAAGUGGGGAAUAGUGGACAAUGGGCGAAAGCCUGAUCCAGCCAUGCCGCGUGGGUGAAGAAGGUCUUCGGAUUGUAAAGCACUUUAAGUUGGGAGGCGUUACCAACAGAAUAAGCACCGGCUAACUUCGUGCCAGCAGCCGCGGUAAUAC
This 407-nucleotide ribosomal RNA is filed under the name uncultured bacterium. RNAcentral's name for it is "partial 16S ribosomal RNA". It matches the Rfam family "Bacterial small subunit ribosomal RNA", at positions 30 to 526 of the family's 1533-position model. The record is from RNAcentral.